This 253-nucleotide unclassified non-coding RNA is filed under the name Hevea brasiliensis (rubber tree). Lineage: Eukaryota; Viridiplantae; Streptophyta; Magnoliopsida; Malpighiales; Euphorbiaceae. The record is from RNAcentral.
GUCGGCCGCUUCGAUAAGGAAAAAGCAAUCGAUGUUGGAGCUAGAGUCGAUGCUUUUGAGACCGCUUCAAGUAGCAUCACCAUUACCACCAUUGCCACCAUGACCGCCGCUGAAAUAGUAACAGUAAUAGUGCUAAUAAUAAUACCAGCAAGAAAUCAACCACCAAUUGGCUUAGAAUUCAAGUCAUUUGUGGAACGGGUCGACUUGAAUAAGAUUCCCAACCCGAAAGAUUUGAAUAUCGGAUGGGAGAAAA